This 208-nucleotide ribosomal RNA is filed under the name uncultured bacterium. Its description in RNAcentral is "partial 16S ribosomal RNA". It matches the Rfam family "Bacterial small subunit ribosomal RNA", at positions 567 to 774 of the family's 1533-position model. The record is from RNAcentral.
GAGCGUAGGCGGAUUUUUAAGUGAGAUGUGAAAUACUCGGGCUUAACCUGAGUGCUGCAUUUCAAACUGGAAGUCUAGAGUGCAGGAGAGGAGAAGGGAAUUCCUAGUGUAGCGGUGAAAUGCGUAGAUAUUAGGAGGAACACCAGUGGCGAAGGCGGCUUACUGGACGGUAACUGACGUUGAGGCUCGAAAGCGUGGGGAGCAAACA